UGCCUGCUGAAAAACAAAUUUCAGGUAAUUCCUGCCCAAUGAAAAUUUUAAAUGGCCGCGGUAAACCGUGCAAAGGUAGCAUAAUCAUUUGCCUCUUAAUUAGGGGCUGGCAUGAACGGAUUAAACGAGAAAAAAGCUGUCUCAAAGAGAACACUAAAACCUAUCCUUUAGGUGAAAAGACCUAAAUAAAUAUAGAAGACAAGAAGACCCUAUCGCGCUUUAUUUAUACUUUCCCCAUCAAGAGAAAGAAAAAUUUGGUUGGGGCGACCCAUGACACUCAAAAACGUCUAUUACCCACAAGACCCGCAAGUCCACUUAAUGACCCUAUUAAGAUUAAAGAACAAGUCACCGUA
RNAcentral lists this ribosomal RNA (353 nucleotides) under Urechis sp. RG-2015-1. Its description in RNAcentral is "partial 16S rRNA". It matches the Rfam family "Archaeal large subunit ribosomal RNA", at positions 1912 to 2539 of the family's 2987-position model. Lineage: Eukaryota; Metazoa; Annelida; Polychaeta; Xenopneusta; Urechidae. The record is from RNAcentral.